UACGUAGGGGGCAAGCGUUGUCCGGAAUCAUUGGGCGUAAAGAGCGUGUAGGCGGCCCGGUAAGUCUGUUGUGAAAGUCCAGGGCUCAACCCUGGAAAGCCGAUGGAUACUGCCGGGCUAGAGUUCGGAAGAGGCGAGUGGAAUUCCUGGUGUAGCGGUGGAAUGCGCAGAUAUCAGGAGGAACACCAAUUGCGAAGGCAGCUCGCUGGGACGUAACUGACGCUGAGACGCGAAAGCGUGGGGAGCAAACAGG
This 253-nucleotide ribosomal RNA is filed under the name uncultured bacterium. RNAcentral describes it as "partial 16S ribosomal RNA". It matches the Rfam family "Bacterial small subunit ribosomal RNA", at positions 524 to 776 of the family's 1533-position model. The record is from RNAcentral.